AACGAACGCUGGCGGCAUGCCUAACACAUGCAAGUCGAACGAAGCCUUCGGGCUUAGUGGCGCACGGGUGCGUAACGCAUGGGAAUCUGCCCUUUGGUUCGGAAUAACAGUUGGAAACGACUGCUAAUACCGGAUGAUGACGAAAGUCCAAAGAUUUAUCGCCAGAGGAUGAGCCCGCGUAGGAUUAGCUAGUUGGUGUGGUGAAGGCGCACCAAGGCGACGAUCCUUAGCUGGUCUGAGAGGAUGAUCAGCCACACUGGGACUGAGACACGGCCCAGACUCCUACGGGAGGCAGCAGUGGGGAAUAUUGGACAAUGGGCGAAAGCCUGAUCCAGCAAUGCCGCGUGAGUGAUGAAGGCCCUAGGGUUGUAAAGCUUUUUUACCCGGGAUGAUAAUGACAGUACCGGGAGAAUAAGCCCCGGCUAACUCCGUGCCAGCCGCCGCAGUAA
This 449-nucleotide ribosomal RNA is filed under the name uncultured bacterium. RNAcentral describes it as "partial 16S ribosomal RNA". It matches the Rfam family "Bacterial small subunit ribosomal RNA", at positions 29 to 523 of the family's 1533-position model. The record is from RNAcentral.